Molecule: transfer RNA, 71 nt
Filed under: Phytophthora nicotianae P1569
Lineage: Eukaryota; Oomycota; Peronosporomycetes; Peronosporales; Peronosporaceae
Description: Phytophthora parasitica P1569 tRNA
Rfam family: tRNA
About the family: Transfer RNA (tRNA) molecules are approximately 80 nucleotides in length. Their secondary structure includes four short double-helical elements and three loops (D, anti-codon, and T loops).
Source: Rfam by way of RNAcentral
GACAGUGUAGCGCAAUGGAUAGAGCGCAAAAUCUUGCCCUGGGAAUGUUGGUUCGACUCCAACCGCUAUUA